UACGAAGGGGGCUAGCGUUGCUCGGAAUCACUGGGCGUAAAGCGCACGUAGGCGGAUUGUUAAGUCAGGGGUGAAAUCCUGGAGCUCAACUCCAGAACUGCCUUUGAUACUGGCGAUCUUGAGUCCGGGAGAGGUGAGUGGAACUGCGAGUGUAGAGGUGAAAUACGUAGAUAUUCGCAAGAACACCAGUGGCGAAGGCGGCUCACUGGCCCGGUACUGACGCUGAGGUGCGAAAGCGUGGGGAGCAAACAGG
Molecule: ribosomal RNA, 253 nt
Filed under: uncultured bacterium
Lineage: Bacteria
Description: partial 16S ribosomal RNA
Rfam family: Bacterial small subunit ribosomal RNA
Source: RNAcentral